RNAcentral lists this ribosomal RNA (130 nucleotides) under Amphilophus citrinellus (Midas cichlid). Lineage: Eukaryota; Metazoa; Chordata; Actinopteri; Cichliformes; Cichlidae. The record is from RNAcentral.
GUAAACUGUCACAACAGUUUAUACCCAUACUAACCCGAGUAUGCCCAGUGUCUUCUGCUAUAGAAAGCUAAGCAGGGUUGGGUCUGGUUAGUACUUGGUAACCACCUGAGAAUAGCAGGUACUGUUUGGG